Long non-coding RNA from Homo sapiens (human), 2100 nucleotides. Ensembl annotates it as SLC44A3 antisense RNA 1. Its record names the gene SLC44A3-AS1. Lineage: Eukaryota; Metazoa; Chordata; Mammalia; Primates; Hominidae. The record is from Ensembl.
AGACGCUUCCCUGCCCUCUCGCCUCAACCACCUCGAGGCAGCGGCUCCCAGGAUGUGCACUUUGACGACUAAAGCUGAGCCGGCGCCGCCACGACCUUGGGCGGGUGGUCGGCCUCUGCCCUGAGCAGGAAGUAGAAAGUCUCAGCAGACCCUUCCUGAGGGCCGAGCAACAGUGUAGUGGCGUAUUCCACAUAGCAAACAGUUUUCUGAAGCUCAGAGGGACACCUUGUAUUGCUGGAUGAUAAAAACAGGAGCAAAGUGAUGAAGUGCUGACAAGGCAACAAUAGAACAUGAGAGAUUCACUGCUGUGUAGGAAGAGAUCUUCGGUGACCAUGUAGCCUGAAGCUCUCAUUUUGUCAUCGAGGGACACCAAAACUCAGAACAGAUAGAGUCUUGCUCUGUGACCCAGGCUUGUGUGCAGCGGUACGAUAUUGGCUCACUGCGACCUCCACCUCCCAGGUUCAAGCAAUUCUCCUGCCUCAGCCUCCCAAGUAGCUGGGAUUACAGAUGAGGUCUCCAAGGGACCAGAUGGAGAACAGAUGCAACCACACUGAAGUCAGAAUCGCAGCUUGCCUCCGACACCUGACGCUUCACUGUUGGCGAGGCCCACUAUGCCUCGCUCUCCCCCUGUAAUGAGUUCUAUCCCAGAGGCUCCUAUACCCUUUAGAAAUAAACUGCUCAGGCAGCCCAACCAGUUCAUCCAAGAGGCCUGGAACCACAGCAGCGUCGACAGCUGAGAUGAGAGUUGGUCCCUGAUCUGAUACAGAGCCUGGGUUUAGCUUUGAUUUCUCUCUUCCUAGGCAAGAUCUUUAGAGAAUAACUUUUUGUGCCUGGCCAUCUCCUGCUCUUUUCUCAACCCAAAAGGGCUAUGUUCACCUAAAGAGGAAAAGCAAGAAGGCUUCCUGGGCUCGGGAGGUCAGGGCUGGAAAGAACUGCUCACCAUUUCUGAGCCGAUGAGGACUCACCUGGGCUCCUCACUGGUCAGGGAACUGUGGCCCAGCCGCAGAGUGAUUGCUUUGUCAAGAAGGGAAACAUUUACCUUUCCUUCUUCCCUCUGCUCUCUCCUAAUUAACAAUUAAAUGGAAGGAGUUGAAAAGACAUGUCAGAGACUUCAAUCUCCUCCCGGCCUGAGGAUGAAGGGGGCUCGAACCUGAAUGUUCUCUUCGCUGUGGCCAGAACCUAGGGGGCUGGGGUUGCUGCCAGCUCGACUGGAGGCCUGCUUCCAGCCCCAGGCUGUGGAAUGUGCUGGGGCCACAGGCAGGUCAGGCCAGGCUUUCUGGGGAGUGAAUGCUCUCUGCCAGUGGCGGAUGGAACUGGUAGACACGUCCCCCGGAUUCCUCGCCUGCAAGUGGGAUGGUGCCAGGAAAGUUCUACACCAUCCUUCCCAGGUCCCAGGAGGACAAGCACAGUUGUCCACAAGUGUGGAUCAGUGUUAAAAGUGCUUCAUGGAGAAAUGGAGGCCUGAAAGCGACUCUGAAGGAGGAGUGGGGCUCAGCAAACAGCAGACGAGUUUCAAUCCAAGCACCCAUUACCCCCCUAACACACGGCAUACGUGCAUCUCAUCUCCUCCUGUGUCGCUAAGAAGCUACCCAUAUGUCUGUCAUUAAUUCUCCAGAAUCCUUGGACACACCCCUCUGCAGAGCUUUCUAACAGGAAAUACAAGUCUCAGAUUUUUUUUUAAGUUAAAAUUGAGUGCAGCACUCAUACCUUUCUUCGAGCAUGAACCGUCAAUCAACACUGCCUCAUGAGCUACUGCUCUCCUGCUCUUUGAAAAGACAAAUCCUUAUUUCUUUGUAGUGAUCCAGAAGGCAGUGGGAAGAAUGACAGGUGCUUGGUUAUCUUCAAUUUAAUCUCUACCUUUCAAUGGGGCUAGUGCAAGCUAGGGCCAUUUUACUGCACCCAAAGGAAUUUAAGACAUUUCUAUUAUCUCUAAAGAAUCCAGAUUAACAUGCCUUCUUGGUGGGCAGGGAGACCAGCUAUGAAUUCUAGGAUCUCAAUUCAAAUGCUUUUGAAUUCUUCCUGCUUGUUCAGUUAAUUACAUAUAUGUCACCACAAUCUUGCUUUUUUUUUUCUAUGCUUCUAAUUUUCUCUGAAACUAUA